GCUUCUCCGCCCGCCGCUCGCCGGCCUCCCCCGCCCCGCACUCCCUCCCAGCCCGAGCCCUCCGGCUGCUCCUCCCCCUCAGCGUCCUCCCCUCCGCGCGGCGCUGACAGGCAGCCUCCGCGGGGAGAGUGCAGGUACUUUGCCGUCAGAAUAAUUUGUAGGACCCCGGCGAGCUUGCGGAGCGCCCUCAUUUUCUCCUGUCUUCGCCCCCUCCCUCCCGAAAAGAAGACCCCACUUUUGAAACAAUCAGAACCCGAAGCAUCCGACCAAAGCCAAAGCCCGACGGGCGGCUGUUCUUGUGCUGUCCUUUCUUGCAGUUUAUUCUGGGCCUGUGUGGAAUAGAAAGACAAUUCUUUAUUUGACUGGUAGGGGAGAAACGAGAAGACUCCUCAGGGUUUCCAAGGAGGACUGGAGCGGCUGCUUUAGUGAAGAAAUGGAGAUUCAAAGAAGUAAAGGACCUGUCUCAAAGUCACAGUACUAGGAAAUCUUGAGGAGUUUGACACUUUUCAUUCUCCAGCCAUUAAUCAUCUUGUAGGGGAAGGCUAUAUGUUGGUGGGAAUAAAAAGCGAGCAGUUCCUGGCCCAUGAUAACUCUAGUUAAGGGUGUCUGACUGAUGGCAUGUUGGCACCAGCACUGAAGGAAGUGAUGGGCUUCAGGUCCAGGUUCCUGUCCUGAGACCACAGCAGGAUGUGCCUUGGACAAAGGUAUGCACA
This is a long non-coding RNA of Eubalaena glacialis (North Atlantic right whale), 713 nucleotides long. RefSeq lists it as uncharacterized. Lineage: Eukaryota; Metazoa; Chordata; Mammalia; Artiodactyla; Balaenidae. The record is from RefSeq and is a predicted model, not a curated record. The transcript has 5 exons.